This is a long non-coding RNA of Triticum aestivum (bread wheat), 3041 nucleotides long. RefSeq lists it as uncharacterized. The transcript has 3 exons. Lineage: Eukaryota; Viridiplantae; Streptophyta; Magnoliopsida; Poales; Poaceae. The record is from RefSeq and is a predicted model, not a curated record.
CAGCUCUCACCACCUCUCCCGGCAGAAAAAAAAAACAUAGGCCACCCCUGCUCUCGAUCCACCCUGUCCCGAUGCGACCACUCUUUUCCCUCUUCACGAUGCGCCGCCGCCCCCAUCUCCCGCUCCACAGCUGCCGACCCCUACCUUCCCCUAUCUCCCGCUCAGCCACCUCACCACCCCCACGCUUCUCCCAUCACCGGACAGAGUUUGCUGCGCAACGGCGGCGGCCUCGGAUCUGGGCUAUGAUUGAACUUAUCCGGGAGGAGGUCGUCGAUGAGCCACCGGUGGCGGAGCCGGGCCAGAGCGGGAAGAGGUCGUCGACUUGGGGCGGCAGCGGAAUGGGUCGGAGGUCGAGUCGGGGCGGCGGCGGGGGUCGGAGGUCACGAAGGUGCCCCGGCCGACGCGACGCGCAGCACCGCAGCUUCCUCAUCCUCUCCUUCUUGUUGUUGUAGUUUCCAUUCACAUGUUUUAUCUACAAAAUCUCCCAUAACGACUACUUGUUGCCUCUUAGUGGUUUAUUUCUUUCUUUCAGAUUCAGAUGGAUGCCUCUUCUACAUAAUUCAUCAGCUGCAGCCUGCAGCAGGACAAGCUUAAUUAUAUUGGUGGCUCUUUAAAGGAUUAAUUGGUAACGAGCAUUUCUAUUGAGGAGAGGAUAAUAUGUCCGGGACAGCAUCUGCGUUUUGAUUUUGAAAAGUAAGAAUCAAGGUACACUCGAAAUUUUGUUAGUACUUAAUUACUAUUCCCUCCGUUCCUAAAUGUAAGUUUUUUAGAGAUUCCACUAGGUGGACUACAUACGGAACAAAAUGAAUGAAUCCAUACUUAAAAUGUAUCUAUAUACAUCCGUAUGUAGUUUAUAGUGGAAUCUCUACAAAGACUUAUAUUUAGGAACGAAGGGAGUACUUUCUUUGCAUGGUUAUCCACAUCUGUUCUGAAUAUAUAAUAUCAUCAUGCAACUUCAGUCAUCCUUCCAAGCACCAAAGCUACAAAUGAGUUCGUAUCUUGGUUUGGUCGUCGCCGGCCAGAUGAGACAUAGUAGCAGUUGUACCCAACCAAAUACAAUACUACAAGAUUAAGCUAGCAAGUUGUUUGUUGGCUUAAUCAUAUCUGCCACUUGCUAAAAAAAAUCAAGCUAGCUAACACAGAGUAUUGUCUAUUUGUCUCUCCUGGUUGGAUGUGCUCAAGCAACUCUCUGCUUCCUAAUUCCUUAAGGUUUGUCUGUACCAUUUCCACAUGCUUACCUACUGGUGGAGGCUGUUGCUUGCAGAUUGCCAAGGUUAGGCGGUGGAGCUCCACGUCCUUGACGUGCGCAUGCUCGUCAAGGAAGCGGCUCCCGAAUCUGCGCUCACGCGGCCGUGACGGAAGGGGCUCGAGAUGGCCGCCGCCGCCGCCGAAGACCAAUCCCCGACCUUGUCCCAAAUCACUUCCUCAGCCAUGUUCCACUGAGGAAGGAGGGGACGGCACAGAGAGGGUCCUCACACAGUCGUGCGGUCGACCACUACGACGCGGCCGUGCGGUGGGUACCCUCGGACGCCGCACUCCCGGGCCGGAGGGAGUCCAGAUCCGGCACAUCACAAAGGUUGCCGCGGCAGGGUGUAUGCACCUGCCUUGGGAAUCCCAGCCCGGCCAUCUUCUCCCCCGAGUUGCAGCGGCGUCGAACCCUAGAUGCACCUCUGCCCGUCCCCCAACUCCCUCCUCUUGAUUCUCCGUCGUGAGACUCCACUCAGUCCAACUCUGUGGGUGUAGGUAAACCACUUCGUUCCUCUCCUGUGCUUUCUCUUGUGCUCUUUGUGUCCAUACCAUGGCCGUUGAGCCAUGCAAAGUUCUACGCUGGCCAUGGAAUUUUCUAGGAUUUGGGCAUGUGGUGACGGUCUUCUAUGUCACUGUUUCACUGGAUUUACUCCCUCCGUUCCAGAAUAUAAGGUGUAUUGGUUUCCGUGCAAGUCAACCAUUUGAAUGUUUGACCAAGAUUAUAGAAUAAAAUAAAAACAUUUGCAAUACCUAGUAGAUAAAAUAUGAAACUACUUUUUAUGAUGGAUCAAAUGAUAUAAAUUUCGUAUUGUGAAUGUUGAUACAUUUUUCUAAAAACUUGGUCAAACUUGCACUUGUUUGACUUUUCAAAAAACAAAUACACCUUAUAUAAAGGAACGGAGGGAGUAUUAUUUAUCAAUGAACGAAUCUAUCUAGCUGUGCCGUCAGACAUUUUAUCCGCGGAUGAUCGACGCAAAUCGGCAGCAAGGACAGUUUUUGUUUUCUGGCCUAUGAAAGCUAUGUCUCUAAAGGAAGGAUCACUCAAAGUGGUUUUUUCAUUAACCCACACAUAGGUGCACUACUUGAAAGUCAUGCACCCUGAGAUAAACAUGGUUCAGGAGUGCCUCUGUUUCUAAAGUUGUUGUUUAUAAAAUACACCAUUCAUAUCUACUGCCCUUCAUCAUGCUUCCAAACUGGAAAAUAAUGCACAACUUGGGCCCCAAGUAUAAUUAAUUCAGGUUUGCUAUUUCACAUCUAGAUGUGAAAUAGCUAUCUCACAUCUAAAUGCAUAGCCAUUGGAUUUUGUCCUGUCUUUGAGAUUCGCGCGUACAACUUUGUUCGUCCCGCUUCGUGCGCGCUCGCGUCGCUGGUGCCGUUGCCUGUCUCGCGGCCCGUUCUUUCCCGUGGAUUUUGCGUAGCGGGCCGUUGUUGGUUGGGCUGGCGGGCCGUUUUUUGUCUCUGUGGGAGCAGGUUCGUGAAUUAAUGGGCGGCGAUUCAGUUUUGUCCUCUUCACAUGCUUCUGGUGACGGCGACUUCUGGAGAGCUACAAGAAGAGAGAGACGCAUUGGAGUGGCGGUGAUUGUUUGGGAGCGAGAAGGGGAGGGGGAGGAGAGGAGCAGCCAAGUUAAAGUGGUGUGCACCGGCGGUAUUAAAUUAGUGUGUUAGUCACUGAAUGGUUUUCCGAGCAAACAAUUUUCUACUUGUCAUGUUUUUGAGGAAGAGAGAUAUGACCCACCCCUGGUUUUGUAUUUUUGAAUGUUGGGGUUGAUGCUAUGUACAUAUAUGUAUGCAUU